CCUACGGGAGGCAGCAGUGGGGGAUAUUGCACAAUGGGGGGAACCCUGAUGCAGCGACGCCGCGUGGGUGAAGGAGUGCUUCGGCAUGUAAAGCCCUAUCGGCAGGGAAGAAGCAAGACGGUACCUGACUAAGAAGCCCCGGCUAACUACGUGCCAGCAGCCGCGGUAAUACGUAGGGGGCCAGCGUUAUCCGGAUUCACUGGGUGGAAAGGGAGCGUAGACGGCCGUGCAAGCCAGGGGUGAAAGCCCGGGGCCCAACCCCGGGACUGCCCUUGGAACUGCAUGGCUGGAGUGCGGGAGAGGCAGGCGGAAUUCCUGGUGUAGCGGUGAAAUGCGUAGAUAUCAGGAGGAACACCGGCGGCGAAGGCGGCCUGCUGGACCACGACUGACGUUGAGGCGCGAAAGCGUGGGGAGCGAACAGGAUUAGAUACCCUUGUAGUC
Molecule: ribosomal RNA, 441 nt
Filed under: uncultured bacterium
Lineage: Bacteria
Description: partial 16S ribosomal RNA
Rfam family: Bacterial small subunit ribosomal RNA
Source: RNAcentral